Long non-coding RNA from Lemur catta (Ring-tailed lemur), 181 nucleotides. RefSeq lists it as uncharacterized. The record is from RefSeq and is a predicted model, not a curated record. NCBI's taxonomy places the organism in Eukaryota, Metazoa, Chordata, Mammalia, Primates, Lemuridae. The transcript has 3 exons.
CUUUCACAUGGCGCAAAUAUAGAAGCAAUAAACAAGGAUCACCUCACUCCACUUUUACUUGCUGUGAGUGGAAAAAAAGAGGAAAUGGUAGAAUUUUUGGUAAAGAAGAAUGCAAAUGUAAAUGCAGUCGAUAAAAUGAACAGAACAGCCCUCGUGCUUGCUGCACAUUGUAAAUCACCAA